CCUACGGUAGGCAGCAGUGAGGAAUAUUGGUCAAUGGGCGCGAGCCUGAACCAGCCAAGUCGCGUGAGGGAGGACGGCCCUACGGGUUGUAAACCUCUUUUGCCGGGGAGCAACGGGCGUCACGUGUGGUGCCACUGAGAGUACCCGGAGAAAAAGCCUCGGCUAACUCCGUGCCAGCAGCCGCGGUAAUACGGGGGAUGCGAGCGUUAUCCGGAUUUAUUGGGUUUAAAGGGUGCGUAGGCGGAGCGUUAAGUCAGUGGUAAAAUUGAGGGGCUCAACCCCUUCCCGCCCGUGAAACUGGCGUUCUUGAGUGGAAGAGAAGUAUGCGGAAUGCGUGGUGUAGCGGUGAAAUGCAGAGAUAUCACGCAGAACUCCGAUUGCGAAGGCAGCAUACCGGCGCUCAACUGACGCUCAUGCACGAAAGUGUGGGUAUCGAACAGGAUUAGAUACCCUGGUAGUC
This 460-nucleotide ribosomal RNA is filed under the name uncultured bacterium. RNAcentral describes it as "partial 16S ribosomal RNA". It matches the Rfam family "Bacterial small subunit ribosomal RNA", at positions 338 to 795 of the family's 1533-position model. The record is from RNAcentral.